AUACGGAGGGUGCAAGCGUUACUCGGAAUCACUGGGCGUAAAGGAUGCGUAGGCGGAUAAUCAAGUCAAAAGUGAAAUCCCACGGCUUAACCGUGGAACUGCUUUCGAAACUGGUUAUCUAGAAUAUGGAAGAGGCAGAUGGAAUUAGUGGUGUAGGGGUAAAAUCCGUAGAGAUCACUAGGAAUACCGAUUGCGAAGGCGAUCUGCUGGGACAUUAUCGACGCUGAGGCAUGAAGGCGUGGGGAGCAAACAGGAGUAGAUACCCUAGUAGUCC
Molecule: ribosomal RNA, 274 nt
Filed under: uncultured bacterium
Lineage: Bacteria
Description: partial 16S ribosomal RNA
Rfam family: Bacterial small subunit ribosomal RNA
Source: RNAcentral